UACGUAGGUGGCAAGCGUUGUCCGGAUUUAUUGGGUUUAAAGGGUGCGUAGGCGGCCUAUUAAGUCAGUGCUGAAAUAUCCCGGCUUAACCGGGAGGGUAGCAUUGAUACUGAUGGGCUUGAGUGGAUUCGAGGUAGGCGGAAUUGACGGUGUAGCGGUGAAAUGCUUAGAUAUCGUCAAGAACACCGAUAGUGUAGACAGCUUACUAGACUUCAACUGACGCUGAGGCACGAAAGUGUGGGGAUCAAACAGGAUUAGAAACCCCUGUAGUCC
RNAcentral lists this ribosomal RNA (273 nucleotides) under uncultured bacterium. RNAcentral's name for it is "partial 16S ribosomal RNA". It matches the Rfam family "Bacterial small subunit ribosomal RNA", at positions 524 to 796 of the family's 1533-position model. The record is from RNAcentral.